UACGAAGGGUGCAAGCGUUACUCGGAAUUACUGGGCGUAAAGCGUGUGCAGGUGGUUCGUUAAGUCUGCUGUGAAAUCCCCGGGCUCAACCUGGGAAUGGCAGUGGAUACUGGCGGGCUAGAGUGCGGUAGAGGGUAGUGGAAUUCCCGGUGUAGCGGUGAAAUGCGUAGAGAUCGGGAGGAACACCAGUGGCGAAGGCGGCUACCUGGACCAGCACUGACACUCAGACACGAAAGCGUGGGGAGCAAACAGG
RNAcentral lists this ribosomal RNA (253 nucleotides) under uncultured Rudaea sp. Its description in RNAcentral is "partial 16S ribosomal RNA". It matches the Rfam family "Bacterial small subunit ribosomal RNA", at positions 524 to 776 of the family's 1533-position model. The record is from RNAcentral. Lineage: Bacteria; Pseudomonadati; Pseudomonadota; Gammaproteobacteria; Lysobacterales; Rhodanobacteraceae.